This 508-nucleotide ribosomal RNA is filed under the name uncultured Methanofollis sp. Its description in RNAcentral is "bacterial SSU rRNA". It matches the Rfam family "Archaeal small subunit ribosomal RNA", at positions 244 to 754 of the family's 1478-position model. The record is from RNAcentral. Lineage: Archaea; Methanobacteriati; Methanobacteriota; Methanomicrobia; Methanomicrobiales; Methanomicrobiaceae.
GCUGCAGGAAUUCCCAAUACUAUCGAUACGGGUUGUGGGAGCAAGAGCCCGGAGAUGGAUUCUGAGACACGAAUCCAGGCCCUACGGGGCGCAGCAGGCGCGAAAACUUUACAAUGCAGGCAACUGUGAUAAGGGAACCCCGAGUGCCCGUAUGGACGGGCUGUUCAGGUGCUUAAAAACCACCUGGAGAAAGGGCCGGGCAAGACCGGUGCCAGCCGCCGCGGUAAUACCGGCGGCUCGAGUGGUGGCCACUAUUACUGGGCUUAAAGCGUCCGUAGCUUGGUCGUUAAGCCUCUGGGGAAAUCUUCCGGCUCAACCGGAAGGCGUCUCAGGGGAACUGGCGACCUAGGGAUCGGGAGAGGUGAGAGGUACUCUGGGGGUAGGAGUGAAAUCCUGUAAUCCUCAGGGGACCACCUGUGGCGAAGGCGUCUCACCAGAACGACUCCGACAGUGAGGGACGAAAGCUGGGGGAGCAAACCGGAUUAGAUACCCGGGUAGUCCCAGCCGU